AUACGGAGGGUCCAAGCGUUAUCCGGAAUCAUUGGGUUUAAAGGGUCCGCAGGCGGUCAAUUAAGUCAGAGGUGAAAGCCCGUCGCUCAACGAUGGAACUGCCUUUGAUACUGGUUGACUUGAGUUAUACGGAAGUAGAUAGAAUAAGUAGUGUAGCGGUGAAAUGCAUAGAUAUUACUUAGAAUACCGAUUGCGAAGGCAGUCUACUACGUAUAUACUGACGCUGAGGGACGAAAGCGUGGGGAGCGAACAGGAUUAGAAACCCUAGUAGUCC
Molecule: ribosomal RNA, 274 nt
Filed under: uncultured bacterium
Lineage: Bacteria
Description: partial 16S ribosomal RNA
Rfam family: Bacterial small subunit ribosomal RNA
Source: RNAcentral